Molecule: ribosomal RNA, 194 nt
Filed under: uncultured bacterium
Lineage: Bacteria
Description: partial 16S ribosomal RNA
Rfam family: Bacterial small subunit ribosomal RNA
Source: RNAcentral
UACUCCUACGGGAGGCAGCAGUGAGGAAUAUUGGUCAAUGGGCGCAAGCCUGRACCAGCCAAGUAGCGUGAAGGAUGAAGGUUCUAUGGAUUGUAAACUUCUUUUAUAAGGGAAUAAACCCACCUACGUGUAGGUGUCUGUAUGUACCUUAUGAAUAAGGACCGGCUAACUCCGUGCCAGCGAGCCGCGGUAAU